GAGGAGGAGGCGGAGGAGGAGGAGGACUCCGAUGGGUCGAAGUCGUAGCCGCUCCCCGGGCAGGGAACAUAGGCGGUCCCGGUCCACAUCUCGGGAUCGAGAAAGAAGACGCCGAGAAAGGUCCAGGUCCAGGGAUAGAGAUCGCAGAAGGAGCCGCUCAAGAUCUCCACACCGAAGACGCUCCAGGUCUCCAAGGCAACAUAGAUCCACAUCUCCCUCCCCUUCUCGACUGAAAGAAAGAAGAGAUGAGGAAAAGAAAGAAACUAAAGAAAUAAAGAACAAAGAACGUCAGAUCACUGAGGAAGAUCUGGAGGGUAAAACGGAGGAAGAAAUAGAAAUGAUGAAAUUAAUGGGAUUUGCCUCUUUUGACUCCACAAAAGGAAAGAAGGUAGAUGGCUCUGUAAAUGCCUAUGCCAUCAACGUGUCUCAGAAGAGCAAAUACAGGCAGUACAUGAAUCGAAAAGGCGGAUUCAACAGACCUUUGGAUUUUAUUGCAUGAGACUUGAGGUGUUGGAUAGAGGAUUCCCCCCCUCAUCUGGGUCAGAGAGUAUUUUAUAUUUUGUAUUUAAUACACAUCAAAACAGGAUCUUGAUUCUUCCUUCUUAUAAAGUAAGAAAGUCUUAUUUAUGACA
This is an RNA transcript of Mastomys coucha (southern multimammate mouse), 632 nucleotides long. It is a transcript of the gene named U4/U6.U5 small nuclear ribonucleoprotein 27 kDa protein pseudogene, with no coding region annotated. The record is from RefSeq and is a predicted model, not a curated record. NCBI's taxonomy places the organism in Eukaryota, Metazoa, Chordata, Mammalia, Rodentia, Muridae. The transcript has a single exon.